AUACGUAGGGGGCGAGCGUUGUCCGGAAUUAUUGGGCGUAAAGGGUACGCAGGCGGCCAUGUAAGUCAGAUGUGAAAGAUCACGGCUUAACCGUGGUAAGCAUUUGAAACUGCUUGGCUUGAGUUAAGGAGAGGAAAGUGGAAUUCCUAGUGUAGCGGUGAAAUGCGUAGAUAUUAGGAAGAAUAUCAGUGGCGAAGGCGACUUUCUGGACUUAUACUGACGCUGAGGUACGAAAGCGUGGGGAGCAAACAGGAUUAGAUACCCUGGUAGUCCACGCUGUAAACGAUGAGUGCUAGGUGUCGGGGGUCAAACCUCGGUGCCGCCGUUAACACAUUAAGCACUCCGCCUGGGGAGUACGUUCGCAAGAAUGAA
This 372-nucleotide ribosomal RNA is filed under the name uncultured bacterium. RNAcentral's name for it is "bacterial SSU rRNA". It matches the Rfam family "Bacterial small subunit ribosomal RNA", at positions 523 to 898 of the family's 1533-position model. The record is from RNAcentral.